UAUAUAUAUAUAUAAUCGACGAAUAUACUCAAUGUAACAGAUAACAGAGGAAUGCUACUGGUGACUAAAAUUAGUCAAAUUUUAUACAAUCUAUUCUUAAGUAAUAGUUCUUGUUGAUAAUUUACUGUUAUAUAACUACUAUUGAUAUGGGAUAAUUAUUCUGAAGAAUCAUUAUGAAGAGGUCAUUAUGAGGUCAUUAUUUACGUCAUACAUAUAUGUUUAUUCUUAAGGUAUGGAGAGAAUUUGAAGAGGUAUUACAAAGAACUUUAUUUGAAUAUUCACAUAACUUUGCUCGCCACAUGAGUUACUCGCCGGAGGCCUAAGGCACGAGAUUUCACACUGCGCAUUGCUCUCUUUUCUCAACGGAGGCCUAGACCACCAUACGACGCUUACGCACAUACUAGGGAGAGGAUACAUAUUUGUUUGUGUUUUCGCUCUAGGUUC
RNAcentral lists this unclassified non-coding RNA (444 nucleotides) under Bombus terrestris (buff-tailed bumblebee). RNAcentral describes it as "misc RNA ENSBTSG00005035270.1". The record is from RNAcentral. Lineage: Eukaryota; Metazoa; Arthropoda; Insecta; Hymenoptera; Apidae.